GGACAAGCGGAUAAGUACGUGUGGGGAGGGGGAGGUACCCCUUUAGUACUGGGUGGAGGCUUUACCCGGUACUAAAGGGGUCACGGGGCUCCUCGGGGAUUGGCCGUUAGGCCCGAUACUAAUGCUCACAUUAGUACAGGCUAAAAUACAACCGGUACUGAAUCUCGGGAUGAAUGCUAAGUUUUCUAGUAGUGGCUUGUAUAUCAGUAGUUGAUGGAACAUGGAGUGGCCAAGCAGAAAUUUGGUACUAUGCUCACAUGAUGAACAUCAGUAGACAGAAAGUGGCCAAGCACUAUGCUCACAUGAUGAACAUAUCCACAAUCCACUGCAAAAAGUGGCCAAGCAGAAGACAGAAAGGUGAUGGAACAUGGAAAGGAACCGGCAGCGGCAGUGAGUUGCUUUGCGUCGUUAUAACGUAAGUAUAGGGUUCUACCAAUGCAGCACUUCUUGACGUACGGGCCGGGGUUGCU
RNAcentral lists this long non-coding RNA (470 nucleotides) under Setaria italica (foxtail millet). Its description in RNAcentral is "long non-coding RNA (SITA_LNC000055)". The record is from RNAcentral. Lineage: Eukaryota; Viridiplantae; Streptophyta; Magnoliopsida; Poales; Poaceae.